Molecule: ribosomal RNA, 276 nt
Filed under: uncultured bacterium
Lineage: Bacteria
Description: partial 16S ribosomal RNA
Rfam family: Bacterial small subunit ribosomal RNA
Source: RNAcentral
AGCGAACGCUGGCGGCAGGCCUAACACAUGCAAGUCGAGCGCCCCGCAAGGGGAGCGGCAGACGGGAGAGUAACACGUGGGAACGUACCCUUCAGUUCGGAACAACCCAGGGAAACUUGGGCUAAUACCGAAUACGUCCGUAAGGAGAAAGAUUUAUCGCUGAAGGAUCGGCCCGCGUCUGAUUAGCUAGGUUGGUGGGGUAACGCUCACCAAGGCGACGAUCAGUUAGCUGGUCUGAGAGAAUGAUCAGCCUCACUGGGACUGAGACACGGCCCA